AUUGAACGCUGGCGGCAGGCCUAACACAUGCAAGUCGAGCGGAUGAAGGGAGCUUGCUCCUGGAUUCAGCGGCGGACGGGUGAGUAAUGCCUAGGAAUCUGCCUGGUAGUGGGGGAUAACGUCCGGAAACGGGCGCUAAUACCGCAUACGUCCUGAGGGAGAAAGUGGGGGAUCUUCGGACCUCACGCUAUCAGAUGAGCCUAGGUCGGAUUAGCUAGUUGGUGGGGUAAAGGCCUACCAAGGCGACGAUCCGUAACUGGUCUGAGAGGAUGAUCAGUCACACGGGAACUGAGACACGGUCCAGACUCCUACGGGAGGCAGCAGUGGGGAAUAUUGGACAAUGGGCGAAAGCCUGAUCCAGCCAUGCCGCGUGUGUGAAGAAGGUCUUCGGAUUGUAAAGCACUUUAAGUUGGGAGGAAGGGCAGUAAGUUAAUACCUUGCUGUUUUGACGGUACCAACAGAAUAAGCACCGGCUAACUUC
RNAcentral lists this ribosomal RNA (481 nucleotides) under uncultured bacterium. RNAcentral's name for it is "partial 16S ribosomal RNA". It matches the Rfam family "Bacterial small subunit ribosomal RNA", at positions 30 to 504 of the family's 1533-position model. The record is from RNAcentral.